RNAcentral lists this ribosomal RNA (207 nucleotides) under uncultured bacterium. Its description in RNAcentral is "partial 16S ribosomal RNA". It matches the Rfam family "Bacterial small subunit ribosomal RNA", at positions 568 to 774 of the family's 1533-position model. The record is from RNAcentral.
CGCGUAGGCGGCUCCUCAAGUCGGGGGUGAAAUCCUCUCGCUUAACGAGAGAAUUGCCUCCGAUACUGGGGAGCUGGAGGGGGAUAGGGGUGCGCGGAACUUCCGGUGGAGCGGUGAAAUGCGUAGAUAUCGGAAGGAACGCCGGUGGCGAAAGCGGCGCACUGGAUCCCCACUGACGCUGAGGCGCGAAAGCCAGGGGAGCAAACG